RNAcentral lists this transfer RNA (72 nucleotides) under Rothia sp. (in: high G+C Gram-positive bacteria). RNAcentral describes it as "tRNA-Gln". It matches the Rfam family "tRNA". From Rfam's summary of the family: Transfer RNA (tRNA) molecules are approximately 80 nucleotides in length. Their secondary structure includes four short double-helical elements and three loops (D, anti-codon, and T loops). Lineage: Bacteria; Bacillati; Actinomycetota; Actinomycetes; Micrococcales; Micrococcaceae. The record is from RNAcentral.
UGGGUUAUGGAGUAAUUGGCAACUCUCCGGGCCUUGGUCCCGGUGUUCUAGGUUCGAGUCCUAGUAGCCCAG